AAGGAAUAUUGGACAAUGGAGGUAACUCUGAUCCAGCCAUGCCGCGUGAAGGAAUAAGGCCCUAUGGGUUGUAAACUUCUUUUAGACGGGACAAAACCCCUUUACGUGUAAAGGGUUGAUGGUACUGUCAGAAUAAGCAUCGGCUAACUUCGUGCCAGCAGCCGCGGUAAUACGAAGGAUGCAAGCGUUAUCCGGAAUUAUUGGGUUUAAAGGGUGCGUAGGCGGGCUAAUAAGUCAGUGGUGAAAGCCUGCAGCUUAACUGCAGAAUUGCCAUUGNUACUGUUAGUCUUGAGUACAGUUGAGGUAGGCGGAAUGUGUCAUGUAGCGGUGAAAUGCUUAGAUAUGACACAGAACACCGAUUGCGAAGGCAGCUUGCUAAGCUGUAACUGACGCUGAGGCACGAAAGCGUGGGGAGCAAACA
This 421-nucleotide ribosomal RNA is filed under the name uncultured bacterium. RNAcentral describes it as "bacterial SSU rRNA". It matches the Rfam family "Bacterial small subunit ribosomal RNA", at positions 356 to 774 of the family's 1533-position model. The record is from RNAcentral.